AGAGUUUGAUCCUGGCUCAGGAUGAACGCUAGCGGGAGGCCUAACACAUGCAAGUCGAACGGGAUUGGGAGCUUGCUCCCAUGAGAGUGGCGCACGGGUGAGUAACGCGUAUGCAACCUACCUUUAACAGAGGGAUAGCCCAUAGAAAUGUGGAUUAAUACCUCAUAGUUCUGAGAGACCGCAUGGUUUUUCAGAUAAAGCUCCGGCGGUUAAAGAUGGGCAUGCGUGACAUUAGUUAGUUGGUGAGGUAACGGCUCACCAAGACUACGAUGUCUAGGGGUUCUGAGAGGAUGAUCCCCCACACUGGUACUGAGACACGGACCAGACUCCUACGGGAGGCAGCAGUGAGGAAUAUUGGUCAAUGGGCGCAAGCCUGAACCAGCCAUCCCGCGUGAAGGAUGAAGGCCCUAUGGGUCGUAAACUUCUUUUAUACACCAAGAAAAAGCAGGACGUGUCCUGCCCCGACGGUAGUGUAUGAAUAAGCAUCGGCUAACUCCGUGCCAGCAGCCGCCGGUAAUA
RNAcentral lists this ribosomal RNA (519 nucleotides) under uncultured bacterium. RNAcentral describes it as "bacterial SSU rRNA". It matches the Rfam family "Bacterial small subunit ribosomal RNA", at positions 8 to 525 of the family's 1533-position model. The record is from RNAcentral.